UCGCGUCAGUUAUGGGAUUCCCAUCUGAUGAGAAGCUGAUCAAGGAGAGCGAAGAGAAGCUCUCAGCUGUGCUCGAUGUCUACGAGGCACAUCUCUCAAAGAGCAAGUACUUGGCCGGUGACUUCGUGAGCUUGGCUGACUUGGCUCACCUCCCGUUUACUGAUUACUUGGUCGGUCCGAUCGGGAAGGCUUACAUGAUCAAAGAUAGGAAGCACGUGAGCGCGUGGUGGGACAGUAUUAGCAGCCGUCCUGCGUGGAAGGAGACUCUUGAGAAGUAUUCAUUCCCCGCUUAAGAACAUGAUGUUCUUUGUUGUUGUUGUUGUUUGUGUGUUUAUGUGAGGUUUAAUAAUAAUGUGGAAAUGUAUGCUUCUUCUUAUAUUAUGUUACCUCUACUCUGUUUCGUUUUGUAACUCGGAACUCUUUGUAUGGUUGAGUGAGGCUUUUAAUUUGAGGAACUUAAUUAUCACCCUUCCAUCAAGGAUCAUUAUAAAGGUUUGCAAAAUCUUGAAGAAAUAGACAUCAUUCCUAGGCUAUGGUUACAAUACCUCUUCCUAUGUGUAAAUUUAACAGAAUUGAACAUAGAUAUUCGAUAUCUAGUAGUGUUGAUGUAAUGUUGAAGGUUAAGAUUGUUGUGCUUAUUGGGAUUACUAUUGAUGAUCGCAUUAUCUCCUUCAAAUUCGACAACACGGUAUCCUAGAGAUCAGUAUUCAUAGCUGAUAGUGGUACAGAACAUUACACUUCUUCUGACGUAUGAUUUCCCUCAAAUCUUCCCAUUACACAAUCCAUAAAUGUUUCACUGCUUUUUCUUACUACCCAUCAUAGAUUAGUGUCUUUGUCACCUUGAAAAUGCGAUGCAUCAUUAUUAUAUUUUAGCCAACCACUUGAAGAUCUCUUCUAUUUAACUUACUUUGCACCCUGUCGUUUCUCAGCACAUUGUAUUUCUUUCUAGAACUCUCACUCAUAAACAUUUACCUCUUAGUUCUAGAAAAAAAAAAAAACAUUUGACCUGUAGUGGUAAAUGCAACCGUUUGGAACUUUGCGUAAGCAUUUUGUACCGGUUUGAGUCAUUUGAGUUUUGACGAGUAGGCCACUCACAUUGCCCCACAUAAAUAAAACCAGCGACAUUCAGAGAACCUUUACUUUGAUAGGUUCAUCAGGCUUUAUUGGUGCAUUGAUCAACAUAAAGCAUUAUUAUUAAGUAUAAACUCUAUUAUGAGUGCACCAAAAAAAACUCUAUUAUGCAUACACUUUAAUCACUAACUUUUGUUUUAUCCAUCUAAUAAUUUUGUUUAAAGUAACAUAGUCUGCCAGAAUAUGAUUAACAAAAUAAUUUGACUCAUUUCAUCACGUUUUGUUGAUACUUUCUUGCCCCCACCAACCUAAUUUUAACCUGCCAAGAAAUGGCUCUGUUUAGUCUCAGAUCAUUAUUUCAUUGCAUUAUGGUUCUAAAAAUGAGAAUCAAUAUCGCAUCUUAUUAGAAUAAACUGGGAAUUUUUUUCAGUUCAAAUGCUUUUCAAUUUCUUUUAAUCCAAAAAAAAUGUUCUUGAAACAUUUUAAAAAUCCAAAUUAUUAUUAUUUAAAAAAAUCUUAUAGUCUACCUUUUUUAGAUCUAAAUCUUAAGUUUAAGUUACCUCUUUGAUAAAAAUAUAUUUUGAUCAUUUUAGCCUUAUGUUAUAUUUGUGAUAAAUAAAUUUAAAGGGUAUCUUUGAAUAUUUCUAUAGAGAAAAUUAAAAGUAAUAUUAAUGACAAAAAUGUAAUCAAGUGUAGUUUCAUAAUAGUGACUAAUAAUCUCUCUUUUUUUUUUGAUUUUUCAAUUUUUUUUUAUUCUUUUUCCACCGCGAAAGCAACGGAAACGCAACGCCACGUUUCGCCACGAGUCGCAAUAUCUCUCUCCCCACCCGUCUAGCAUCCUCUCUCUCUAUAAAACGGCGUCGUGAGCACCGUAAAAUUCAUCACUUAAACAAGCCAACUGUGACCGCAAGCUUAGACAAAGAAACAGAGAAACAGAAAGAUGGUGCUAAAGGUGUACGGACCUCACUUUGCUUCACCAAAGCGAGCUCUGGUAACGCUCAUCGAGAAGGGCGUCGCCUUCGAGACCGUCCCCGUCGAUCUCAUGAAAGGAGAACACAAGCAGCCUGCUUAUCUCGCCUUACAGGUUUCCUUCCUCGAUCUCCCUCUGCUUCUUUCUUUCCUUUUUCAAGAUUCUCACCAUCUUCUUUGUUUCUUCCCAUGCAGCCCUUCGGUACCGUCCCUGCUGUUGUCGACGGCGACUACAAAAUCUUCGGUACGCCUUCUUUCAAGAAAACCACAACACAUCUCACUUUUCUUACAGAUCAAACAUAGUUCUGUGUUCUUGUCUUGUUAUUCUUUUAUGUUUCUGUGGAGAUGUAAAUAAUUUUUUUUUUUUUUGAAAUUUUGACAGAGUCACGUGCCGUCAUGAGGUACGUAGCUGAGAAGUACAGGUCACAAGGACCUGACCUUUUGGGGAAAACCGUGGAAGAAAGAGGACAAGUUGAGCAGUGGCUAGACGUGGAGGCGACCACUUACCACCCACCGCUACUUAACCUGACACUUCACAUAAUGUUCGCGUCAGUUAUGGGAUUCCCAUCUGAUGAGAAGCUGAUCAAGGAGAGCGAAGAGAAGCUCUCAGCUGUGCUCGAUGUCUACGAGGCACAUCUCUCAAAGAGCAAGUACUUGGCCGGUGACUUCGUGAGCUUGGCUGACUUGGCUCACCUCCCGUUUACUGAUUACUUGGUCGGUCCGAUCGGGAAGGCUUACAUGAUCAAAGAUAGGAAGCACGUGAGCGCGUGGUGGGACAGUAUUAGCAGCCGUCCUGCGUGGAAGGAGACUCUUGAGAAGUAUUCAUUCCCCGCUUAAGAAC
Molecule: long non-coding RNA, 2881 nt
Filed under: Brassica napus (rape)
Lineage: Eukaryota; Viridiplantae; Streptophyta; Magnoliopsida; Brassicales; Brassicaceae
Description: long non-coding RNA (BNAP_LNC002220)
Source: RNAcentral